AGAUUGAACGCUGGCGGCAUGCCUUACACAUGCAAGUCGAACGGCAGCACGGGGGCAACCCUGGUGGCGAGUGGCGAACGGGUGAGUAAUGCAUCGGAACGUGCCCAGUAGUGGGGGAUAACUAGUCGAAAGAUUAGCUAAUACCGCAUACGACCUAAGGGUGAAAGCGGGGGAUUCGCAAGAACCUCGCGCUAUCGGAGCGGCCGAUGUCUGAUUAGCUAGUUGGACGGGUAAAAGCCCACCAAGGCUUCGAUCAGUAGCUGGUCUGAGAGGACGACCAGCCACACUGGGACUGAGACACGGCCCAGACUCCGUACGGGAGCAGCAGUGGGGAAUUUUGGAACAA
Molecule: ribosomal RNA, 346 nt
Filed under: uncultured soil bacterium
Lineage: Bacteria
Description: bacterial SSU rRNA
Rfam family: Bacterial small subunit ribosomal RNA
Source: RNAcentral